RNA transcript from Pyrus x bretschneideri (Chinese white pear), 2601 nucleotides. RefSeq lists it as uncharacterized. The transcript has 6 exons. The record is from RefSeq and is a predicted model, not a curated record. Lineage: Eukaryota; Viridiplantae; Streptophyta; Magnoliopsida; Rosales; Rosaceae.
AUCAUUAUGAUGUCUAGCCCUUGAUUUGUGGCUUUUACAAAGGCAAAGAUUUGGCAUGAGCCGAAAGAGAUAAGAGGAGGGAGAGAAGGCGGUAAGGCAUUUGGUUAUGCCUUUGUGAUGAGUAAAGAGAGCAUCCAAUGGGGGACAUCAUUAUGAUGUCUAGCCCUUGAUUUGUGGCUUUUACAAAGGCAAAGUGUGAUGAGCCGAAAGAGAGAAGAGGAGGGAGAGAAGGCGGGGCCUUUGUGAUGAGUAAAGAGAGCAUCCAACGGGGAGAGCAUUCGGCUCUCCCAUGGAAGGUUGAACAUGGGUUGAGAGAAAACAAAUGAUACAUAUGCAAUUAAUCUCUAAUAUAGGUUGAGUGUUAUAAUAUAUAUAUAUAUAUAUAUAUAAACAAAAACAAAAAAAAAACCCUAUGGUAUAGGUAGAUAAACACAAUUAAGCUUCAAUACAACUUCAAAAAAAAAAAAAAAAACAAUGGAAAGCAGAAAGAAACCCAAAAAAUAAAAAAUAAAAAAGAGGAAGAACCCAAAACACAAGAUUGAGUAAUGCAAAUUAACACAUCAAGAUAAAGAUAUUGACAGGGAGAAACAAGAUAAGAGAACUGAAACAAGAAAAGAGAAAUGAACGGUUUGGGUAACGAGAAGAAAAACGGAGAUUUAAAUCCCUAAUCCUAUAAUUCAGGAUAAGAUUAACAUUAAUCACAAAUGAAAAAAUAAACAGCAAUUACUUAAUUAAUCAAUUUAAGGGUAAAUUUGGCAAUCUAAUACAAAUAAGCUUAUGUGGAUAAUUAAUUACUGGACCUCAUCCGAAAAAUAAAACAAAUUAAGUUGGACUAUAACUAAUAAUGACUUAUAAAAUUGAACUUAUAUUAAGUUUCCCCUUCUCCAAAUUGGAUUCUCCCUCUAUUUUUAAAAUUGGACUUCUCCCUCUAUUAUAUUAAGUUCCCACCACCAAAUUCAAAAACUUGGUUUGCCAAAAUCUGAUUUAAACCCACCGCAUCCCAAAAUUGUGCCCACUCACUUUUAAAAUAUUAAUUAAAAAAAUAGUAGCUAUAUUAAAGGGUUAGAAACUGGAAAGCUUCCAUUCCACCAUUUCUCAUUCCGUCUCACCUUUACUCUCCCAAAAUUAAAAGGACGCUCAUUCCAGCUCCUCCGUCCAGUUCCAACCCAUUCAUCCAUGGAGUCUAUCCACCUCAAGCCUACUCCUCUGUCCAGUUCAAAGGCACUCCUCUGCCCUCUGGUGACACACACCGACACACAAGAGGGCCAAGAUACAUAUGGCUAAUAUGAUGCUUGAUGAUGAUGCAUUUUUGGCAUCUAUGGGAACUCAACCACACUUCCAAUUUGGUGUAGUCACCGAAAAUGAAUCAUUUGCAACCAACCAACCCCAUGAGACAUGUAGUCGACAUACGCAAUCAAGUGGCUCUACUUCUUUGUCACCCACAACUCGAAAGAGGAAUAGGGGAGUUAACAAAAUACGGUGGGGCAGAGGGAGGUGCGAAAAACUGAACUUUAACAGAUUUGGUCAACCUAUUUCUCCUCGUGACAAUGUGGCCAAAUUUGGGCGCUACAUAGCCAUGUUGGCUCGUGAUGGUGGAAUAAUCCCAAUUGAUUCACCUGAUUGGCGCCAAAUAGAAUCUUCGAAACUUGAUCGAGUGUGGUCAUUGGUCCAGGCCACUAUAGACUGGACAAAUCCAAAAGCUGCUGGCAAGGAGGACAAAGUAAGGGCUAUUGUGGAAACGAAAUUGCAUGAUCGUUUCAGGACAUGGAGGGCAAAACUCCGUAAGUUGUAUUAUGUUCCCUUUGAGAACUCCGAGCACAGGAAGCAUUGCAAUGAUUCUAGGGUAAUCCAGAGACAAUGGCAAUCCUUGGUAGCUUAUUGGGAUAAAAUUGAAAAUAAGCGGAGAUGUGCAACGAAUGUCAAGAAUCGAAAGAUGUUAAAGACGAGUCACACAACUGGGACAACAACUUUUGCUCAAAUACGGAAUGAUUAUGAACAGCGGUUUAUUACCCUUAUUGAUGUUUGUGUUUAUAUAUAGUGCACUAUAGUUUUUGUCAUUGUAACUGUGAUUGUUUAAUGAUUGUGGUUGUUUUUGGGAUUUUUUUUGUGUCUUAGGCUGAAGAACAUGAUGGAAAUGAACCUGAUCGUGUGACUUUUUUCAAAAUGGCACACACAAGAGGACCUAAGCAACUCCCAGUUGAUGAUGAAUCUGCUAGAAUGAUGUUAGCGUUUGAAAAUCUGGAAGUGGAGGUUCGUGAACGUGGUGAUGAGGUAACAACAGAGGUUCGUAAUAAGAUUUAUGCAGAAGUGUUGGGCCCAGAGAAGUGAAAUCAAGUGCGAGGCUUUGGCCUUGGAGUUGGUUGGGCAGAUGUACCAGGAAUUGUUACUGAACAGCGAGGUAUUUCUAGGGAAGUGAAGUAUCUUCGGGAAGCUUAUGAAGCUCAGAAAGAAGCCACUGCUGCUGCGGAAGAAAAAAUGACUCGUAUGAUGCAUGAGGCAAAUGAGAAAGCGGAAAAGAUGAAAAGAGAGCAAGAAGAAAGCAUACAAAGGCUUAGGGCCGAACAAGAGGAGAAUUUGAGGUUAGCAAAGGUGCAAAUGGCU